Ceratosolen solmsi marchali is the source of this 351-nucleotide long non-coding RNA. RefSeq lists it as uncharacterized. The transcript is spliced from 3 exons. The record is from RefSeq and is a predicted model, not a curated record. NCBI's taxonomy places the organism in Eukaryota, Metazoa, Arthropoda, Insecta, Hymenoptera, Agaonidae.
GACGGAGGAAGCGACUCCGACAGAGGAACACGAUCUCCCCCGAUCUCCCCCGCUCCUCGCAUAGCUGGACGUCGUCGCUUUGCGACGACGCACUUUUAAACUCUGGACUGCAGCACGCACACAUUGGAACAAUGUAGACUGUAGGAGGCGAGACUGCGGGGGAUGCUGCACUUAACCAGCACCCUAUGGGUUAAUGGUACAAAAACUUUGAUCAUUCUGAACCUUUGAUGUAUUAUCGUUGGUUAGGAUAUGCAUCAGCCAACCAAUGAAAAUAGCAUUGCAUUAAUUAGUCAUCUUGGAAUCGCAACUUCUCUUAAAGUUCUACCGUGUCACGCUAUAGUAGAAGAUACC